GGAAGGACAAACUAGUUCUGUUGUAAAGCCUAAUCGGUAUAGUCGAUGGUUCACUUUGUUUCGCUGGGUUUCACAAAGCUUCUUCCCCGCAGCCAGCUCAGUCUCGCCAAUCUCGGUGUUCUUCCUUUUGACGUAUAAUAAAGGAGAGACAGCCCACACACUUACAAAGAUUGGCCAACAGAUAUUUGGAGCCAUUUAAAUAGCCAAGGACGUUUCUCUCUACAUUUACUCGAAAAUACUGAGGUCAAUUUCAACUUUAACUUUUCCUCUAGAUUUAGAAUAUGUGGCUUGAUCAGAGGGGCAACUGCUACUCGUAUUCCAGUAACCAAUCCAGCAACAAUCUGCCAAUUGAAUAGCUGCCACGGGAGCUGGUGAUUCAAAAUCCAAACAGGAACAAUGGUUGUUUCUUCUUCAGCUUUAAAAUCAGGAGUCCAUUUAAGAACUUGCAUUGAUGAAUCUCCAAUAUCGAUUUACUCUUUAGUGAACACAUGACUAUAAUUGGCUUCAUUAUCUAGAUCGAAAUAAGCAAUUUUAACAGUCCCAGAAAGAUGAAACUUACUAACAAAGGUCUUAUGGAUUUCCUCCAUGCUGGGCUUCCCGCGACAAAACUUACCGAUUAUAGCGAGUCUGCAUUGUUUAGCAAGAUUGAUGAAAUAAUCUUCAGCUCUGAAGAACACUGCAGGUUUGCCAAGGGGUUAUUCCGAAGUAAGAUUGGGUCAAUAAAAUCGUUAUUUGUAUCCAGAAUGAGGAGAAGAUUCCCUAUUUUCAGUAUUGGUCGUUUAUAUUGUACAGGGAAUGCAGAGGCGGCGCCUCAAUUGUCAAUUGACCUCAUUAAAAUAAUGGACCAAAGGUUAUCAGCAAUUGAGAACAGGAAUGCUCACCUUGAGCGUUUUUUAGAUCAGCCUGAAUUGACACCUUCUGAAUAUUCAACGGCCAACAAAGAGCUCAGGAAGCUCAGAGAUUCAGUACAUCUCAUAAGCGAGUUAAGGGCAAAACAGCAGGAGAUUAAGGAACUGAAAUCAGUAAUAUCUGAUUGUCAAGAUGACAAAGACAUGCAACAGAUGGCUUCUGAAGAAUUAAGUGAAGCCACAGAAGGAGAGAAGAAAUUUCAGUUUCUCCUUCUGAAGUCAUUACUACCCAAAGAUGAUGCUGAUGAGAGGGACUGCAUUCUUGAAGUGAGGGCAGGAACUGGAGGGGAAGAGGCUUCCUUAUUUGCGAUGGACAUAUUCAAAAUGUAUGAAAAAUACUCUGUGAAAAAAGGCUGGAAGUAUGAGGUUCUAGAAACAGCUGAGUCUGAUCUUAAAGGAUACAAGGAAGCUAUUGCUUCUAUCUCUGGAGCUGGUGUGUACGGGAAACUAAAAUUUGAGAGUGGAAUACACAGAGUUCAGCGGGUGCCCGUGACAGAGAAAGGUGGACGUGUUCACACCAGUGCUGUCUCUGUUGCAAUUCUCCCGCAGGCAGAUCAGGACCGUAGUACGGGACAGACGAUUGGAAUAGGAUAUGAAUCACAAGGCCUUUACUAUCUUACCUCUUCUAAUUCUUUAAUAGCAUGCUCUGUUACAGAUUCCCUAGAUGUAAUUCACAAACGUUUGGGACACCCAAGUUUAUCCAAACUGCAAAAGAUGGUGCCUAGUUUGUCUGGUUUAUCCACAUUAGAUUGUGAGUCGUGUCAACUUGGGAAACACACUCGUGCUACAUUUUCUCGUAGUACUGAGGGUCGUUCAGAGUCUAUUUUUUCGUUUCUUCAUUCUGAUAUUUUGGGUCCUAGUAGAGUCAGUUCCCCCUUAGGAUUUCGUUAUUUUGUUAGUUUCAUUGAUGAUUAUUUCAGAUGCACUUGGGUUUUCUUAAUGAAAGAUCGUUCUGAGUUAUUUUCUAUUUUCAAAGGUUUCUUUGCUGAAAUACAAAAUCAGUUUGGUGUUUCUAUUCGUACUUUCCAUAGUGAUAAUGCCUUAGAAUACUUAUCAUCCCAAUUUCAGGAAUUUAUGUCUCACCACGGAAUCAUUCACCAAAAAUCUUGUCCAUACACCUCAAUAAAAUGGUGUCGCAGAAAGAAAGAAUAGGAAUCUCAUAGAGGCUGCUCGCACUCUUCUCAAUUGAAUCCCAUGUUCCGCUGUGUUCUUGGGGUGAUGCAGUCCUUUCCGCUUGUUAUUUAAUUAACAGAAUGCCCUCUUCUUCUAUUCAAAAUCAGGUUCCACAUUCCAUAUCGUUUCCUCAGUCACAUCUCUAUCCUAUCCCCCCUCGUGUCUUUGGGAGCACAUGCUUUGUUCAUAAUUUAGCCCUAGGAAAAGAUAUAUUAGCUCCUCGUGCCCUCAAAUGUGUCUUUCUUGGUUACUCUAGAGUUCAAAAAUGGUAUCGUUGUUAUCCACAUGAUCUUCAUCGAUACCUUAUGUCCGCUGAUGUUACAUUUUUUGAGUCUCAGCCUUGUUAUACAUCUUCUGAUCAUACUAAUGUCUCUAUGGUCAUACCCAUACCUCAAGUCUUACCUGUGCCAACCUUUGAGGGAUCUAUAGUUACGUCUACAUCUCCAGUUGCAGCGCCACCACUACUAACUUAUCAUCGCCGUCCACGUCCAACCCUAGUCCCAGAUGAUUCAUGUCAUGCGCCAGACCCUGCUCCUACUGCGGACUUGCCUCGACCUAUCCCACCGCUUGCUCUUCAAAAAGACUAUAGGUGAAUCACUUUCUCAUUCUGGAUGGAGGCAGGCUAUGGUUGAUGAGAUGUCUGCUUUACAUAAGAGUGGUACUUGGGAGUUUGUCUCCCUUCCUGCAAGUAAAUCUAUUGUUGGUUGUCAUUGGGUUUAUGCAGUCAAAAUUGGCCAGAUGGUCAGGUUGAUCGACUUAAGGCUCGCCUUGUCGCCAAAGGGUAUACUCAGAUAUUUGGGCUAGAUUAUAGUGACACUUUCGCUCCUGUGGCUAAAUUAGCAUCUGUUCGUCUUUUUCUAUCUAUGGCUGCCAUUCGUCAUUGGCCUCUUUAUCAGUUGGACAUAAAGAAUGCUUUUCUGCAUGGUGAUCUUGAGGAAGAAGUCUAUAUGGAGCAACCACCUGGUUUUGUUGCUCAGUUGAGUCUAGUAGCCUUGUAUGUCGAUUGCGUAGGUCACACUAUGGUGUGAAACAGCCUCCUCGAGCUUGGUUUGGGUAGUUUAGCACAGUAAUUCAGGAGUUUGGCAUGACUCGUAGUGGAGCUAAUCACUCUAUGUUUUAUCGACAUUCUGCACCAGGGCGAUGUAUCUAUUUGGUUGUUUAUGUUGAUAUUGUUAUCACCGGUAAUGAUCAAGAUGGUAUCACCGAUUUAAAGCAACAUCUUUUUAAGCACUUUUGGACUAAAGACCUUGGCAGAUUGAAGUAUUUUCAAGGUAUUGAGGUUGCUCAGUCUAGAUUAGGCAUUGUUAUCUCUCAAUGCAAGUAUGCCUUAGACAUUCUUGAGGAGACAAGAAUGAUGGGAUGUAGACCUAUUGACACUCCGAUGGAUCCGAAUGUUAAACUUUUUUCGAGAUAGGGGGAGCAACUUAGUAAUCCUGAAAGGUAUAGACGACUUGUUGGAAAGUUGAAUUAUCUCACAAUGACUAGACUAGAUUUCUCUUAUCCCGUGAGUGUUGUAAGUCAGUUUAUGAUUUCCCCUUGUGAUAGUCAUUGGGAAGCAGUUGUUCGUAUUCUUCGAUAUAUAAAGUCAGCCCCCGACAAAGGAUACUCUUUGAGGAUCAAGGUCAUGAGCAUAUCAUUGGAUAUACAGACGCUAAUUGGGCAGGAUCACCCUCUGACAGACGUUUGACAUCCGGAUAUUGUGUUUUAGUUGGAGGUAAUUUGGUGUCGUGGAAAAGUAAGAAACAAAAUGUUGUUGCUCGAUCUAGUGCAGAAUCAGAAUAUCAAGCAAUGGCGACAACAACUUGUGAGUUAGUUUGGCUCAAACAGUUACUGGGAGAAUUAAAAUUUGGCAAAAUUGAUCAGAUGAAACUUGUGUGUGAUAAUCAAGCGACUCUUCAUAUCGCAUCAAAUCCAGUGUUUCAUGAAAGGACUAAGCACAUUGAGAUUGACUGUCACUUUGUUCGAGAAAAGAUACUCUCAAGAGAUAUUGUUACAAAAUUUGUGAAGUCAAAUGAUCAACUUGCAGAUAUGUUCACUAAGUCUCUCACAUGUCCUUGUAUUAAUUACAUCUGUAACAAGCUAGGUGCAUAUAAUUUGUAUGCACCAGCUUGAGGGGGAGUGUUCGAAUAGGAAUAAAUAUUUCUUACUUAGAAUAGGAAUAAGAAUAGGAAUUCUAGUUGGAAAAGUUUCCAAUGUAGUGUCUAUAAAUAGGGUCUUUAUGUAACAAUUUAGAUGCACAAUUCAAUAAUAUUUUUUCCAUUAUUUCUCUCAAAUACAAUUUUAAAAGCUUAUCAAGAGAGCUGUGUGCUCAAGGCUCCAAGAUACUGGACUUUAGAUGCUUACCGUGCAUCAAAUCAAGGCUCUUCAGCACUUUUAUCUAUUAAAAGGAAAUGAUUCUUUGCGAUAUUAUUAAUCUCAGCGUUCGCAUAAGCAUGGGAAACACUAGGGUGGGAUUGGUGGGUUAAAAAUCUUAGGAGGAUACUGAGCAUGUCCUCAUGAGUGAUAGCAUAUUCAUGCACUCACAGUGUGUGUUUGUGUUAUAAGAUAUCUAUUUACACAAAAAUAUACGUGCAGGGUGUGUUUUAGCAUACAACAGAUGCAUGUCUUGUUAACCCCUGGCUAGAACUUUCCACGGCUUGAUGUCACGUCCUUAAUCUUCUACUAAGCACACCUGCGGCACUUGACAACUUGCUCACGAUCUUGCACCAUUUGCUCACGAUCUUGUAUUGCCAAGUCAACCCAAGACACUAGGAAUCACUAAGAGAAUGGUAGAGAAAACACAAGAGAUUGCUAGGAAGUAUUGUGUUGUAGAUAACUUUGAUUUUUGCUUGAUCAUUUUACAAAUGAAUACCUGAUCACUCUCAAAACUCGUCCUUACAAGGAUAAGUGGCUGUUGCGAAUAUAAUCCGGCUUUCUUUGUGACUAGAGUCGAUUCCACAGAGAACUAUCAAAGCUUUCUUCUGUAUCACUAAGAAAUUUUAAUAAUCAAUUUCUAAAGGUUUUUUCUUUUAUUUCUUUUUGUUAUGACUUAAAUACGAACUAAAAUAAGUAGAAAUAAUCAAACAAAUAAGCAAUGUAAGUAAACUCAUAAUAUGCCGACUAUAAUCUUGUCGAGUUAUUCUCUGUCGACCAUGAACUUUUAGUCAGUACAAUUGUUUAUCAACAUAUAAUAGUGAUUUCAUAUCGCUAUACUCUCGAAUGAGCUCUAGCUAACUGAUUACUCUGUUCACAUUGAUUGCACCAAAGUUUUGUUAUCUCUAACUUCCAUUUUUAAAUCCCGGCCAUUAAUCUCUAAAUGCCUUGAAGUGGUGUUGUUCAACUUAAAACCCAAUCUCACCGUCUCUCUCAAGAACAGUAAAAUACCACGACACUGUUAAUUGAGGGCCUUCAAUAAAAUAUAGUUGAACAAAUAAAUAUAAAGUAAAACUACUUGAUCAUAGUAGAACAUAAUCGCUAGUUCAUCCACAACGAGUUCCAUAAGUCAUCCUAGAAAAUAAUCUAGCUACUCAUAAUGGAGUUUAAGAACAUAGAUUUGCAUAACGAACAAAUAAAAGAAUAGAAAAAAAUGAUACUCUAUGUUGAAUCCCUAGUUAUGGACUCUUCUCCUUGUUCUUGCCUCUCAAAAACUGUGUAACCCUUUAAAUAUUUAGUGAAUAUGCUAUUUAUACUGCACAUCUUUAAUCUCUUGAAGAAAAUAACCUUCAGCCAAAAUAAUUUGACCCCGUCACAUUUUUGGCUGUACGCUCUGCGAGCCAGAUAUGUGGCCGCUUUGUGUACGGCCAAUUGCUAUGUUCCUCAAUUAUUUCUUCAUUUUUCUUAGUCCUUUAGCUCAAUGACUCUUUGAUGCGAUCUUGAUAAUUCUUGUGGGCUUCUACUCACUCAGUCUUUGGAGUUCCGUAACAAGUCUGUAUUUGCUCCAAACAUGCCUACCAGAUUUGACAAACUACACACAUAAUAAGCACAUAACAAUAGUAAUAAUGAUCAAGUGAUGACAAAAGAAAACAUAUGAGGCCUUUACAACUACUAAAUGCCUCUUUAUACUACUCACUUAGGGGCUAAUAUGCAAAUAAUAACUUACACAAGUCCCUACAUAUUUACAAAUAAACCCUUUUUCUAAAGUUCUCUACAUGUCUAGAAUAUUUUAAAGCCUUUCUAUCUAGACCAGACGUAUACCAUAGGCGUAACAUGUAAUAUAGGACCCCGAGAAGCCCUACACAAGCCACUUAACAUACACCAUACAAAAUAAUAGAAUUAAAGAACUCAAAAGACUUCUUAUAUCAUAAAGAGUUUGACAAAGCCGGAAGUCUAACAUAAGUCUCAAAGUCAUCUAAUACAUCAUAAGGAAAGUGAUUAGGAUGUAACCCAUGCAUUAGAUACAAGUCUGAAAUGAUAAUGACAUAAAGCAAUAAAAGUGUCUCGGUGCCUCAAAACAUGAAGACUCACCAAUCUUCAAUCGAAGCUCUUAAGGGAUGUCUAGCCACAAGUGCGUAGAUAGGAACAUCAGACCUUACAUAGUGAAAUAAUGUAAGCACAAGUAUGUAUUAAACAUGGAAUGUACUAAGUAUGAUAACAAUGCAUAAGAGUUUUGAAAUCAUGCUAAAAAUGACUUUACAUGACAUGCAAUGACCAAGCUAAAUCAUGAAAAAUCAUGUUAGAAUAUAUGUAAUAAUCAUGGUCAAUGCAAGCUAAGCAUCUUUAAACACAUUUGAAAUAUUUUAGAAAGUAACCUCAAUUCGUUAUUGUGGGAAGUUUGCCAUUACCCGACGUAGACCAUGUGAGCUAUAACAUGGAAUUCAGUGUCUAUCCCACACCAAAAAGAGAUGUCCUUACUUGCCAAGGUAAGAAUCAUAAACUUGAGCUAAACUGGAUCCACUGGCUAAUGUCUAUCUAAGAUAAACAUAUGGUGACACAUUGUUAUGGGACAUGGGUAAUUACCAAUAGGCCACUUGGUGCUAGGCAUAAAUCCCACAAAGUAGUCAUUAUUCAUUUCAUCUAUUAUCCAUGGAAAGACAAUCAAGUAGUUGAUCCAUGCUAGAGUCCAUUUAGAGUCUCCUAAAUCAAGAUUCAACUUUAGUUGAGAAAAUCUUUCAACCCUUUGAAACCUUCUUGUGAGAAUAACCUUUCACAAGAACAAUUUAUCUCAAAGCAAUUCAAAUCAUUCAUAUCAAUUCCAUAGAAAGAACAUGCCUAUCUUCAUAAAUUCAUAAUUCAUAGUUCAUAAACUUAAUCACAUGCUCAUAGUCUAAAGUUCAUGGGGCAUGCAUGAGUUCAUAUGAAUUAAACUCUAUGACCCUCUUUAGAUCAUUAUGUAAUAUUCCAGUGGUUGCCGGAAGGAAUGACGUCAUUGCUCCUGUAAUUACCUCAAUUCAUACAUAAAUAGAUAGAAAAUAGUCAAUUUGUUCAAGAUUGAAACUUCCCAUGAACAUUGACUAAAACCCUAACUUUGAUUGGGUAAUCCAGCUUUGCUAAAUUGGAGAAUUUAAGAACCCUAUGAAGGAAAGGACUCCAUUGGUGAAUACUAUCAAACGUUGAUUCUUUAAGCCCAAGAAAAAUGGUGAAUUUGGAGACUUGAAUGAACUCUAGCUCUUCUUUCUUCCUUAGACUUGAGAAAAUUUAAGAGGAUGAAUUCAGUCAAGUUUUGGGAAUUUAGGAGAAUGAGUUCAAAUGGGUAAAUUAGGGGCUUAAAAUGUUUAUAUAGGGCCUAGGGUAGAAGGUAAAAUGACAAUAGUAUUGGGUUAAAACAAUUAGG
Molecule: non-coding RNA, 7830 nt
Organism: Solanum lycopersicum (tomato)
Lineage: Eukaryota; Viridiplantae; Streptophyta; Magnoliopsida; Solanales; Solanaceae
Source: RefSeq, a predicted model, not a curated record